GGUUCAUAAUGGUGGCAGUGCACGGCAACUAGAAAAAUGUUUUGCUGGACACAAGGUAUCAUCAUAGUCCCAUAUAGAAAAUCAUGAUCAAACUACAAUGCAGCCAUGUUUAUGUGUUUACUUGUUGCUAUCUCAGAAUGUUGUGCGAAACCAAGAAGCUUUUGUUCAUAGUUACACUGCUCAACAAGGGGAAACAAAUUCUGCUACACAUAAGGUAUGUUUCUGUUACCAUACACAAUAUGUUCAAAAUAUAUUGCUCCGUUGUUUAUGUAUCUACUCGUCGUCUUGCUAUAAGAAUGUUGUUCAGAACAAAGAAACUUUGCUUCAAAAUGUCCGUACACAACAGGGAGAAAAAACGUUUGGUGCAAACAAAGUGGUAUCUUUUCAUAAUCGCAUACACAUUUAUGUUCAAACUAUAGUGCUAAAUUGUUUAUUUUCUUAUUAUUUUUUCUUUGCUAUCAAACUCUUGUCCAGAACAAAAAAAA
This 485-nucleotide long non-coding RNA is filed under the name Hordeum vulgare. Its description in RNAcentral is "long non-coding RNA (HVUL_LNC021680)". Lineage: Eukaryota; Viridiplantae; Streptophyta; Magnoliopsida; Poales; Poaceae. The record is from RNAcentral.